GCCACAUUAGGCUGUCUGAGAUGACGGUAUGAGACUUUGUAAUCCCUGCAAAUUCCCUUCUCACCCCAACCCUUUGCGUUCACGGUCUGGAUUUACCGACCUCCUGCGAAGAGCUUGCAGAGGUUAAAAGUGGCAUUAAUGGGUUGAGAGUUCCAGACCUGGGUGAAGGCAUCAUCUGCCAAUGAUCUCCAAAAGCCCAGUUUAGCAAGAGCCAUUAGACUGUCUGCUGUGUCUCCUGCCUCACAGCCCUACAGACUGUGGAGGGGCUCACAAGACCAUGCAUUAGAGGAAAACCAGAAGAGAGAAUUAUUUUGGAAUACACAUCGCUUCCAAACUCUUCUGAAUCGUGCCGAAAUGGAGGGACCUGCCUCAGUGAUGUGCCUGAGAACGUGCUGUGUAAAUGACUGUAAACCACUCUGUUUUGCUGAAAACCCAUCCGAGCUGGGACGACCCCAUCUCUCCAGGAACAGCAGCUGCUCUCGCAGGACGAUGAAGCAAAGGCGACGGUCAAACAGCAUCAGCAUGUGCACCUUGCCCAUCAUCCCAGAAUAUCCAGGCUUCCAGGACAUUAAGUUAUCAAGAAAUUAUUUGGAAGCUCCAGCCUUCAACCGACUUUUCCAGGAUUUGGAAAGAGGCAAGGGCUCCUCAUCACAACUGAGUCAUUUUCCAAGCAGGGCUUCCUUAGUCCAUUGCUUGGGGAGCUCUUCCAGGGGCUGUGUGAAAGGCCACCCGACAGCCAGCAGUGGCUUCCACGACAAGCCAUUGCAAGAGUAUUUCGACGAGAGGCUGAUGGAGCUGAGGAACUACGAAAGUAAGAGGUCAAAUAGGAAGACAAAAGCAUUUGCUGAUAAGUGCCAGAACCCCUUCCUCACCCGCAGAGGAUCUCGGCGCAGAAGCAGCUGCAGUGCCGUGGUGGUGGCCGGGCACGGCAAGGAGAGCGAGGAGUCCUGCAGCUCAGCAAACCCCGACAGCAAAAAAGGCAUCGAGCCCAACGACCGAGAGGAAACCCAGAGUGUCCUGGACCUCUACAAGGAUGACUUCUUGGACAUUCUGACCAUGCACAUUGCGGCUCCCCUAGAAGCGUUUGUGCAAAAAUAGUGACACUGGAGCUGGCUGUGGCUUUUCGUGUAGCCCUGACAACCAGGAGGAAUUGUUCCUGCUCAGCACCAUUCUGACUUAAGUAGUUCGUGUGUGUCAGUCCACUCUGAGACAGAAAUGUGCUUGUUUGUGGGAGAAAAUAUUCUCUCAUUUCGUGCUCUUGAUUAGCGUUGCAUAUAUUUGUUUUCAAUUAUUUUCUGCAAAGAAUCAGUAUAAUUGAGCCAUAGUUGUGAUUUAUGAUAUACAGAAAGCAGCAUUCUAAAUGCAUGCACGUAUUACUUGAAUUCUUAAGUUGCCUUAAAAAGAAGGUGAUUAGUGUCAGAGGAGCAGCUUGGUUUGUAUUAGCUAAUCUGAAGAGAGACUGGUGUGUUCUGCCUCGUUACUUUCAGCCUCUUGGUUUUUAUUGUGUCACUUUGGCCCAGCUCAUUUAGGGUGAUGUUUCACACAGGUUCAAAUAGUUGAUGAGAAAUGAGUGAUUUUCACUCAUUGCCACAUGUAAUCACCAGGUGCAUCAUUCUAAGUGUUCGAGGCAUGAAGCAGCAAACACAGACACAAGUUUUACUUUUAAAGAUGAUCAGCCAUUGUGGUUUCAUUUGCAGACUCAAAAACCUUUGACUUAAGAAGCACUUCAAGGGCAGAGAGGAAAAAAAUGCUAGAUUUAGGUGAGACUGAUGGAAGUAAGUAUGAAAGAAGGCUCCUUCCCUCUUUCUUAUUAUGAGAACAAUAUAGCAAAUUCCUAAUGCAAUCUGAACUUCAAAUUGUUUAUUGUAUGUAAGUGUUUAUCAUGGUCAUCGAAGUACAGCUGCAGCUGAGUCUUUUUAUUGCAUGAAGUUGAUGUUUAAUUCCCUGGUAGUACACUCAGACCCAAAGCAGGCAAUUAUUUUAAGCUUCCAGAAAGAACUACUACAGCCUGUGGUAUCGUCAGCAAUAAAUUCCUCAUU
RNAcentral lists this long non-coding RNA (2039 nucleotides) under Calidris pugnax (ruff). RNAcentral's name for it is "lncRNA (ENSCPUG00000019460.1)". Lineage: Eukaryota; Metazoa; Chordata; Aves; Charadriiformes; Scolopacidae. The record is from RNAcentral.